This 74-nucleotide transfer RNA is filed under the name Rhynchosporium graminicola. The stretch from base 7 to 67 matches the Rfam family "tRNA", at positions 7 to 64 of the family's 71-position model. Rfam says of the family: Transfer RNA (tRNA) molecules are approximately 80 nucleotides in length. Their secondary structure includes four short double-helical elements and three loops (D, anti-codon, and T loops). Further hydrogen bonds mediate the characteristic L-shaped molecular structure. tRNAs have two regions of fundamental functional importance: the anti-codon, which is responsible for specific mRNA codon recognition, and the 3' end, to which the tRNAs corresponding amino acid is attached (by aminoacyl-tRNA synthetases). tRNAs cope with the degeneracy of the genetic code in two manners: having more than one tRNA (with a specific anti-codon) for a particular amino acid; and 'wobble' base-pairing, i.e. permitting non-standard base-pairing at the 3rd anti-codon position. The record is from RNAcentral. Lineage: Eukaryota; Fungi; Ascomycota; Leotiomycetes; Helotiales; Ploettnerulaceae.
AUAUAGUUAGCUCAGUUGGUUAGAGCGUGGUGCUAAUAACGCCAAGGUCGCGAGUUCGACCCUCGUAGUGAUCA